RNAcentral lists this transfer RNA (73 nucleotides) under Bos taurus (domestic cattle). It matches the Rfam family "tRNA". Rfam says of the family: Transfer RNA (tRNA) molecules are approximately 80 nucleotides in length. Their secondary structure includes four short double-helical elements and three loops (D, anti-codon, and T loops). The record is from Rfam by way of RNAcentral. Lineage: Eukaryota; Metazoa; Chordata; Mammalia; Artiodactyla; Bovidae. RNAcentral also lists the same sequence under 3 other names.
UCCCUGGUGGUCCAGUGGUUAGGACUCUGCCCUCUCAAUGCAGGGGAACCAGGUUCAAUUUCUGCUCAGGGAA